CAUGCUUAACACAUGCAAGUCGAACGGAAACGAUGGAAGCUUGCUUCCNGGCGUCGAGUGGCGAACGGGUGAGUAAUGCUUGGGAAUCUGCCUAAUAGUGGGGAACAACUCGGGGAAACUCGGGCUAAUACCGCAUAAUCUCUUCGGAGGAAAGGGGGCCUCUACAUGUAAGCUCUCGCUAAUAGAUGAGCCCAAGUCAGAUUAGCUUGUUGGUAAGGUAACGGCUUACCAAGGCUACGAUCUGUAGCUGGUCUGAGAGGAUGAUCAGCCACACUGGGACUGAGACACGGCCCAGACUCCUACGGGAGGCAGCAGUGGGGAAUAUUGCACAAUGGGCGAAAGCCUGAUGCAGCAAUGCCGCGUGUGUGAAGAAGGCUCUAGGGUUGUAAAGCACUUUCAAUAAGGAAGAAAAGCAUAAGGUUAAUAACCUUAUGUAUUGACGUAACUUAUACAAGAAGCACCGGCUAAUUCCGUGCCAGCAGCCGCGGUAAUACGGAAGGUGCAAGCGUUAAUCGGAAUUACUGGGCGUAAAGCGCGCGUAGGCUGUUAUCUAAGUCGGAUGUGAAAUCCUCGGGCUCAACCCGGGAACUGCAUCCGAAACUAAAUAACUAGAGUAUGGGAGAGGUAAGUAGAAUUUCCGGUGUAGCGGUGAAAUGCGUAGAUAUCGGAAGGAAUACCAGUGGCGAAGGCGGCUUACUGGACCAAUACUGACGCUGAGGUGCGAAAGCGUGGGGAGCGAACAGGAUUAGAUACCCUGGUAGUCCACGCCGUAAACGAUGAGAACUAGAUGUUGGGAGGGUUAGCCUCUCAGUGUC
RNAcentral lists this ribosomal RNA (815 nucleotides) under uncultured Gammaproteobacteria bacterium. RNAcentral describes it as "SSU rRNA". It matches the Rfam family "Bacterial small subunit ribosomal RNA", at positions 43 to 847 of the family's 1533-position model. Lineage: Bacteria; Pseudomonadati; Pseudomonadota; Gammaproteobacteria. The record is from RNAcentral.